GGGGAUGUAGCUCAAAUGGUAGAGCGCUCGCUUUGCAUGCGAGAGG
This 46-nucleotide transfer RNA is filed under the name Genlisea aurea. It matches the Rfam family "tRNA", at positions 1 to 45 of the family's 71-position model. From Rfam's summary of the family: Transfer RNA (tRNA) molecules are approximately 80 nucleotides in length. Lineage: Eukaryota; Viridiplantae; Streptophyta; Magnoliopsida; Lamiales; Lentibulariaceae. The record is from Rfam by way of RNAcentral.